UGCUGUGAUGGUGUAAUUUGCGUCUGACUCUGUGGCCAGUGACGGUAUGCCUGCUGUCAUAUGCUGGCACAGAUGACUGGUGAACUUUGAGUCUGAGCA
Gambusia affinis (western mosquitofish) is the source of this 99-nucleotide small nucleolar RNA. Its record names the gene SNORD16. It matches the Rfam family "Small nucleolar RNA SNORD16". From Rfam's summary of the family: U16 is a member of the C/D class of snoRNA which contain the C (UGAUGA) and D (CUGA) box motifs. U81 acts as a guanine methylation guide and is found in an intron of ribosomal proteins L1 gene in animals. The record is from Ensembl. Lineage: Eukaryota; Metazoa; Chordata; Actinopteri; Cyprinodontiformes; Poeciliidae.